GUAGAUCAAAAAUGAAAGAAAACCAUGAGUCAACAUGUCAACAUUACCUGAUGCUGCUGAAGUGAAGCAGAGCAAAGUUACAGAGGUUUGAUUAGAGACACAGCUGAGGGUUUUGUAAUUUGGCAUCACUUUACAUUUCUUCUCUGUUAAACAGCAGAAAUGAGGCUUUCUUGUUGGAGGUCAUUUUCAAGGGGAAAAAACGGUGUAAUAAUAAUAAGUAGGUCAAAGGUCAGGUUACACUGGUUAAACAGGAUCAGCAGAAAUUAAACAAGGAUAAAGAAAUAAUACAUCAAACAAGGAAAUAAAUUAAAAGUUUGAGUUAAUGAGAAAUUAAACGUUUAAAUCAGGUUAAGAGUUAAAUUUUGAGCCUUUGUUAGUUAAACCAGAUAAAAUAAUCGGAAUAACCGAUUUGGGGGAAAAUCGCAAAGAUGUUGUAAUCAAAGCUCUUUUAAAAUAGUUUGUACGGCAUAAAGAAAAACACGUUUCAGUAAAUUGUAUAUUGAGCCAAAACCGCGAAGUCACUGGUAGUGACCUCAGAUCAUUGUUACUGAAGAAGGAGGAAUUCUGCCUUAAACAGUAAAGUGUUCUUUAACUGUGUGUGUGUGUGUGUGUGUGUGUGUGUCUGCAGCUGUUCUUUGUGUUGUUGCUGGAUCGUUGCCUCAGGGGGAAAGUUGUGUGUGUGUUGAACAUGCAGACUAACAGAGACUGCAGCUGUCAGCAGCCACACACACUUUAUAUUCUUCAAAUCAAAUCACAGUGAAACAUGUUCACUGACAGCUCAGCUUCAGCAUCUUAUUCAUGCUGUGACUGCAGCCGUUCAACUCUGUUUCUCUUUAACCCAAAUCAUCACAACAUGGAAAUAUAAUCAUCAAAAUGAUGUGACUGGAAGGAUGCAGCAGUCUGUGCUCCACCUUUCUCCUCCACACCUGCAGGUGGAGAACAUGGAUGCAUGAAUCUCUACAGAGUUCUUUGAAUAUUAUCCGUCUUAUCAGUUUUCAGUGAACAAAAAUCCUCACAGAGCCAAAAUAAGCAGUUUGUAUCCAACAUAACUCAGCUGGACUCUGAUGCUCCGUAUAACAGCCACACAUGAGUCUGGAUUCACUCAAAGCAUUGAACAAACUUUAUUGUAAAUGAAGCUUUUGGACAUUUAUUCUCUGAUAUUUGCUCUUCAGCUCGAGUCUCCAUCAGUGGGAACAUUUCCUGAUUCAACUUUUCUUCUGUUCAAAUCAAACUCCAUGAGAAUCAAAGUGUGAAUCAGAGUCCUGAUGAUCAGAUUCUAUAGAAACAUGGAGACUGUAGAGGAUUUACACU
Long non-coding RNA from Oreochromis niloticus (Nile tilapia), 1311 nucleotides. RefSeq lists it as uncharacterized. The record is from RefSeq and is a predicted model, not a curated record. The transcript is spliced from 2 exons. Lineage: Eukaryota; Metazoa; Chordata; Actinopteri; Cichliformes; Cichlidae.